RNAcentral lists this ribosomal RNA (396 nucleotides) under uncultured bacterium. RNAcentral's name for it is "bacterial SSU rRNA". It matches the Rfam family "Bacterial small subunit ribosomal RNA", at positions 28 to 429 of the family's 1533-position model. The record is from RNAcentral.
GACGAACGCUGGCGGCGUGCUUAACACAUGCAAGUCGAGCGGUAAGGCCCUUUCGGGGGUACACGAGCGGCGAACGGGUGAGUAACACGUGGGUGACCUGCCCUCAGCUCUGGGAUAAGCCCGGGAAACCGGGUCUAAUACCGGAUAUGACCUCAUGACGCAUGUUGUGGAGCGGAAAGCCUUGUGCGGCUGAGGAUGGGCCCGCGGCCUAUCAGCUUGUUGGUGGGGNGAUGGCCUACCAAGGCGACGACGGGUAGCCGGCCUGAGAGGGCGACCGGCCACACUGGGACUGAGAUACGGCCCAGACUCCUACGGGAGGCAGCAGUGGGGAAUCUUGCGCAAUGGGCGAAAGCCUGACGCAGCGACGCCGCGUGAGGGAUGACGGCCUGGUGUAAC